Setaria italica (foxtail millet) is the source of this 656-nucleotide long non-coding RNA. RefSeq lists it as uncharacterized. The record is from RefSeq and is a predicted model, not a curated record. The transcript is spliced from 2 exons. NCBI's taxonomy places the organism in Eukaryota, Viridiplantae, Streptophyta, Magnoliopsida, Poales, Poaceae.
ACCGUGCGGGGGGCUCGACUCGAGUCACGAAGGCGACAUCCUUCGCGGCGUUCGCGCGCGGCCCCUCCGGCCACGGCCAGAGCCCGCGGGAAUUGCCGCCGCGGAGAUCUACGGUCUCCCCCUGCCUUUCUGGCUUCUUCCGGGUUUGACCCGUUGCGCAGCGCUAGCGGCGUCGGCUCACCCCACGCCGGGCUGCGUCAGCCAACCAGACGCAGACUCGUGUCAGGAUGACAGCUUCCCCUCUCCUCUUCUCCACGGGGCCUCGAUCUCCUUCCCUGUUUCCUUGGAGCAACCUGGCAUUUGCUCCCAAGGGAUUCCCCUGCUGUAGUAAUUUCAGGAGCCCGUGUUGGACUGCCUAGGUGUUCGAUGGUAUUCCCCUGAGAUGCGAAGAGGCCUGCCGCUCCGCUCUGCCUUCCGUUUGCAGUGCAAGUGGAACCGUGUCGUUUCACUAUGGUUGCUGCUGCCCCUUGGGUUCCAGAACCAAUUCUGGGACUGGGCAAUGGUUGUUGUGCUGUGUCCACUGCCCCUUUUAGUGGAGCAGUAUUCCAGAUGUUUUUUUUCCUUUCGGAAGACAGUAUUCCAGCUGUGAAUGUAACGGGCUUUUUGCCUUGUAUUUUGUCCAAAUGAAUUCAUGUUUUUCAUUUGGAACAUCGGUA